This 219-nucleotide ribosomal RNA is filed under the name uncultured bacterium. RNAcentral describes it as "partial 16S ribosomal RNA". It matches the Rfam family "Bacterial small subunit ribosomal RNA", at positions 582 to 793 of the family's 1533-position model. The record is from RNAcentral.
GUUAAGUCAGAUGUGAAAGACCCGGGGCGUCAACCUCGGAAUUGCAUUUAGAAACUGGCGAAACUAGAGUACUGUAGAGGGGGGGUAGGAAUUUCAGGUGUAGCGGUGAAAUGCGUAGAGAUCUGAAGGAAUACCGGUGGCGAAGGCGGCCCCCUCGGACAGAUACUGACACUCAGAUGCGAAAGCGUGGGGAGCAAACAGGAUUAGAUACCCUGGUAG